This 253-nucleotide ribosomal RNA is filed under the name uncultured bacterium. RNAcentral describes it as "partial 16S ribosomal RNA". It matches the Rfam family "Bacterial small subunit ribosomal RNA", at positions 524 to 776 of the family's 1533-position model. The record is from RNAcentral.
UACGUAGGGGGCAAGCGUUGUCCGGAAUUAUUGGGCGUAAAGAGCUCGUAGGCGGUCUGUCGCGUCGGCUGUGAAAACUCGGGGCUCAACCCCGAGCCUGCAGUCGAUACGGGCAGACUAGAGUUCGGUAGGGGAGACUGGAAUUCCUGGUGUAGCGGUGAAAUGCGCAGAUAUCAGGAGGAACACCGGUGGCGAAGGCGGGUCUCUGGGCCGAAACUGACGCUGAGGAGCGAAAGCGUGGGGAGCGAACAGG